GAUGAACGCUGGCGGCGUGCCUAAUACAUGCAAGUCGAGCGAACGGACGCGAAGCUUGCUUCUCUGAUGUUAGCGGCGGACGGGUGAGUAACACGUGGAUAACCUACCUAUAAGACUGGGAUAACUUCGGGAAACCGGAGCUAAUACCGGAUAAUAUUUUGAACCGCAUGGUUCAAAAGUGAAAGACGGCCUUGCUGUCACUUAUAGAUGGAUCCGCGCUGCAUUAGCUAGUUGGUAAGGUAACGGCUUACCAAGGCAACGAUGCAUAGCCGACCUGAGAGGGUGAUCGGCCACACUGGAACUGAGACACGGUCCAGACUCCUACGGGAGGCAGCAGUAGGGAAUCUUCCGCAAUGGGCGAAAGCCUGACGGAGCAACGCCGCGUGAGUGAUGAAGGUCUUCGGAUCGUAAAACUCUGUUAUUAGGGAAGAACAUAUGUGUAAGUAACUGUGCACAUCUUGACGGUACCUAAUCAGAAAGCCACGGCUAACUACGUG
RNAcentral lists this ribosomal RNA (497 nucleotides) under uncultured bacterium. RNAcentral describes it as "partial 16S ribosomal RNA". It matches the Rfam family "Bacterial small subunit ribosomal RNA", at positions 28 to 507 of the family's 1533-position model. The record is from RNAcentral.